RNAcentral lists this ribosomal RNA (435 nucleotides) under Triticum aestivum (bread wheat). RNAcentral's name for it is "partial small subunit ribosomal RNA". The record is from RNAcentral. Lineage: Eukaryota; Viridiplantae; Streptophyta; Magnoliopsida; Poales; Poaceae.
AUGCUUUCUUGUAGCGUGACCACUUUUCCCAUCCCCUACCUCGGGCUACCCUUAUCGAUCCGCAAGACCCAUGCAACGGCGCUCCUCCCGCUUGUGGACCGCUUGAUCAAAAAGCUUGCAACUUGGAAAGCUACUCUACUCUCGCUGGCUGAGAGACUGGCCCUUGUUCGAGAUGUGCUCAUGGCCAUGCCCGGACACAUCCUGCUCGCCAUGUCCAUAAACCCUCCAAUCCUCAAGAAGAUCACCAGGGUGGUCCGCGACUUCCUGUGGCACGGGCGCAAGGACACCAAGGCCGGCUGCUGCCUUGUCAGCUGGCCGAAGAUCUCCCGGCCGUUGAAGCUCGGCGGGCUUGCUGUGCAUGACCUCCACCGCACUGGGAUCGCGUUGCGGGCGCGUUGGCUUUGGCUGCAGGCCACCGAUCCCGAUCGCCCAUGG